This 452-nucleotide ribosomal RNA is filed under the name uncultured Prevotella sp. RNAcentral describes it as "partial 16S ribosomal RNA". It matches the Rfam family "Bacterial small subunit ribosomal RNA", at positions 341 to 792 of the family's 1533-position model. Lineage: Bacteria; Pseudomonadati; Bacteroidota; Bacteroidia; Bacteroidales; Prevotellaceae. The record is from RNAcentral.
ACGGGAGGCAGCAGUGAGGAAUAUUGGUCAAUGGACGAGAGUCUGAACCAGCCAAGUAGCGUGCAGGAUGACGGCCCUAUGGGUUGUAAACUGCUUUUGUACGGGAAUAAAGUGACCUACGUGUAGGUUUUGCAUGUACCGUAAGAAUAAGGACCGGCUAAUUCCGUGCCAGCAGCCGCGGUAAUACGGAAGGUCCGGGCGUUAUCCGGAUUUAUUGGGUUUAAAGGGAGCGUAGGCCGUGCUUUAAGCGUGUUGUGAAAUGUGGGCGCCCAACGUCUGCACUGCAGCGCGAACUGGAGCACUUGAGUACGCAGGAAGUAGGCGGAAUUCGUCGUGUAGCGGUGAAAUGCUUAGAUAUGACGAAGAACUCCGAUUGGGAAGCCAGCUACUGUAGCGCCACUGACGCUGAUGCUCGAAAGCGUGGGUAUCGAACAGGAUUAGAUACCCUGGUA